RNAcentral lists this long non-coding RNA (1300 nucleotides) under Equus asinus (donkey). Its description in RNAcentral is "lncRNA (ENSEASG00005024882.1)". The record is from RNAcentral. Lineage: Eukaryota; Metazoa; Chordata; Mammalia; Perissodactyla; Equidae.
CACAGAGGAGGGGUCAGGGUCCUCCUUGCUGUGGCACAAGAGGUGUGUGCACAGACCAAGAGCCCUGUGUCGGCCGCACCUGCCGUCGGGGGCACCCGCUGGCGAUGAAGGACCGACGCCCACUGCUGACGUUGGUCUUGCUCUGUCUCUUCUCUGUGUGAGUGAAGCGUCGUUCCAUCUGGUGCUGGACUGUGUUGUGUCUUCCUUGGCGACUCCAACACCAAGACGCAGUGGGCACAGUGUUUGCUCUCGUAGCCUUGGUGGCUGGCGCUGUGAUGACCUUGGCUCUCCUCCAUGGAGCUGCAGUCCGUUCCUGGCCUUGGUUCCUGCAGCAUGAAUUUUGCUCUGGCUGACCUGCUGCAGAACCAAGACCUGAGAUGCCAAACAAUAAACCUGCUGCCUGCAAGGACCAUCGCGGGAAAAAUUCCUCCUUGGGUGUGGGCACCUUACAGAAGGGACAUCACGCAGUGACACUGUAUGUGUUAGGGGUGGAGUUGGGUGGGGGAUAAAACGUCCUUAAAUCUUCCUGCCCCGGCACUGUGCUUCUGUUGGGGCUGGGGAGCUGGCAGGGAAAGAGAAGAGAGCUAUGCAGGGGGAGGAGAGGAUGAGGAGGGAAGAGGAGCCCGGCUUUCUGCCUGUCUCUGCCUUCAUGGCGUCUCUCACACAACCACUGCUGUUUGUAGUGUUGAUGAAAAUAAUCCAUAAUCAAUCUAUAAAUGAACAUUUGGGUGAGUUUAUUCUGAGCUGAAAUCUGAGGACCAUGGCCCAGGACCUUUCUUCCCGAAGGAAGAAAGGGCACCAAAGAAGUGGGGUGCACAGAGUGGUUAUAUACCCCCAAACACGAUGUUUCACAUAUGAUUGAAAUGUCCCUUUUAUAAUAGUCGCGAGACUGCUCUGUCGGCACAGCGAUUGAUGGAAACAGCUGGUAGGUCUGCUGUCUCGGUGAACACAGCAGGGUGGCAGUUCUGUUGUCUGGAGCUGACUGGUCACAGGUGAUCUGGGUGGUCAAAGGAGAGCACAGCAGUCAGUUCCUAGCCUAAGGAAAGAUGCUUAUCCCUAAGGAAAUGCCAAUGUGGGGGGAAGCUGCACCUUUCUCUUAAGGCCGUUUGUUCUUGCCAUAGUAAAUGUUUUAAAGCAGAUAUACAAUGCUGUGCUCAAUGGCCACAGUCAGGCCCUUUUGGAAAAAACAAAGUCAGGCCAAAUUAGGUUUAUACCAAAUGGCUUCCUCAUAUACUCCAAUAUAUCUUAUUGCUUGCCAUUUCAAUUUGUUAGUAGCCAGGCCAGGCAGGGGCAGCAGAGG